GUCCAUGGCCAUACCACCCUGAACGCGCCCGAUCUCAUUUGAUCUUGGAGGUUAAGCAGGGUCAGGUUAGUACUUGGAUGGGAGACCGCCUGGAAAUACCGGGUGCUGUAGGCU
This 114-nucleotide ribosomal RNA is filed under the name Sapajus apella (tufted capuchin). The record is from RNAcentral. RNAcentral also lists the same sequence under 1 other name. Lineage: Eukaryota; Metazoa; Chordata; Mammalia; Primates; Cebidae.